GACAACGCUGGCGGCGUGCCUGACACAUGCAAGUCGGACGGUUCUUGUACCUUCAAGCUUGCUUGUUGGUGCAAGGAUAGUGGCGGACGGGUGAGUAACGCGUGAACAUCUACCCAUUGGAGGGGGACAACCCGUCGAAAGGCGGGCUAAUACCGCGUAAGCCGCGAGGUGAGAGGCUGCCUAUUGGUGGCCGCCGAUGGAUGGGUUCGCGUCCUAUCAGCUGGUUGGUGGGGUAACGGCCUACCAAGGCGAAGACGGGUAGCCGGUCUGAGAGGAUGGCCGGCCACACUGGAACUGAGACACGGUCCAGACUCCUACGGGAGGCAGCAGUGGGGAAUAUUGGGCAAUGGGGGAGACCCUGACCCAGCGACGCCGCGUGAGGGACGAAGGUUUUCGGAUUGUAAAGCUCUGUCGAGCGGAAAGAAAUGCACGAUGGCUAAUAUCCAUCAUGCUUGACGGUACCGCUAGAGGAAGCACCGGCUAACUCCGUG
RNAcentral lists this ribosomal RNA (491 nucleotides) under uncultured bacterium. RNAcentral's name for it is "bacterial SSU rRNA". It matches the Rfam family "Bacterial small subunit ribosomal RNA", at positions 32 to 507 of the family's 1533-position model. The record is from RNAcentral.